This is a long non-coding RNA of Girardinichthys multiradiatus, 800 nucleotides long. RefSeq lists it as uncharacterized. NCBI's taxonomy places the organism in Eukaryota, Metazoa, Chordata, Actinopteri, Cyprinodontiformes, Goodeidae. The record is from RefSeq and is a predicted model, not a curated record. The transcript is spliced from 2 exons.
AAAGGUAGUGGGAUCAGGAUCUGGGUUUUUGUUGGUGUUUGUGUUUUUGUGCUUGCUACAUGUGCUCAUUCUCAGGUGGUGCUGGAGCUCUCAGGUGUGCUGGGUGACAGGUGCGACUUAUUCCACUGAUUACUCUGAGGAGUACUUAAGCAGGAGGCUGCCAGCACUUUGAUGCCAGAGUGUUUUGCCACCAGUGGUACAAGCUUGAGCCAAACAUUAAGCCAAUGCUUUGUACUUCAACCUUGUGUCAUUUUAUUUUUGCUCCUUUGCAGAUUUUGAACGCCUAAGCUUUGGAUCUAUGUCACUAAGUUUGACAAUGUUUCUGGAAGUUAUUCUGGAUGAUCAAGCCUGCCUACGUCUUGUGGAUUUCUAUCCUAUCAUCUGUCUUCGUUUGGAUUUCGCAUCAAGCUGGCAGUUUUCCUGCUCCUGUCCUCUCCUGGACCAAGCCGUAAGUGUAACCUGUCCACCCUCCAACGUAAACCUCCGCACACCAAACUCAUUACUGUCUGCUCCGAGCUCAUACCGAACAGUACCCAGGAGACCUUCUAUGGAUUCGUCCUCACUAAGCCUGGAUCCUGAAUCUCUCUACCCCUGGCGACCUGACCACAGUGUUUUUUUGACCAUUUCGUUCCUGAUUAUCACCAUCAAAAUAACCUUUUAUUCAUUCUGUUCUCCGGAGUGCUCUGUAUGUGGGUCAGAUCAAUUGUUAACAUAAUGACAAGCGGUACCAAAGCACAAACUUACUCAUCUAGUUUCACAAAACAUUAGGAUUUAAUAUUAAAAAAAGAAUUUUGUAGUAA